CCAGACUCCUACGGGAGGCAGCAGUGGGGGAUAUUGCACAAUGGGGGGAACCCUGAUGCAGCGACGCCGCGUGGGUGAAGAAGCGCCUCGGCGCGUAAAGCCCUGUCAGCAGGGAAGAAAAUGACGGUACCUGAAGAAGAAGCCCCGGCUAACUACGUGCCAGCAGCCGCGGUAAUACGUAGGGGGCAAGCGUUAUCCGGAUUUACUGGGUGUAAAGGGGGCGCAGACGGCGAUGCAAGCCAGGAGUGAAAGCCCGGGGCCCAACCCCGGGACUGCUCUUGGAACUGGCAAACUGGAGUGUGUGAGAGGAUAGUGGAAUUCCAGGUGUAGGAGUGAAAUCCGUAGAUAUCUGGAGGAACAUCAGUGGCGAAGGCGACUAUCUGGCACAUAACUGACGCUGAGGAGCGAAAGCGUGGGUAGCAAACAGGAUUAGAUACCCCAGUAC
RNAcentral lists this ribosomal RNA (445 nucleotides) under uncultured bacterium. RNAcentral's name for it is "bacterial SSU rRNA". It matches the Rfam family "Bacterial small subunit ribosomal RNA", at positions 331 to 793 of the family's 1533-position model. The record is from RNAcentral.